UAGAGUUUGAUCCUGGCUCAGAUUGAACGCUGGCGGCAUGCUUUACACAUGCAAGUCGAACGGUAACAGGGAGCUUGCUCCGCUGACGAGUGGCGAACGGGUGAGUAAUGCAUCGGAACGUGCCUAUUUGUGGGGGAUAACGUAGCGAAAGUUACGCUAAUACCGCAUACGCCCUGAGGGGGAAAGCGGGGGAUUCGUAAGAACCUCGCGCAAUUAGAGCGGCCGAUGUCGGAUUAGCUAGUUGGUGGGGUAAAGGCUCACCAAGGCGACGAUCCGUAGCGGGUCUGAGAGGAUGAUCCGCCACACUGGGACUGAGACACGGCCCAGACUCCUACGGGAGGCAGCAGUGGGGAAUUUUGGACAAUGGGCGAAAGCCUGAUCCAGCCAUGCCGCGUGAGUGAAGAAGGCCUU
RNAcentral lists this ribosomal RNA (411 nucleotides) under uncultured bacterium. Its description in RNAcentral is "bacterial SSU rRNA". It matches the Rfam family "Bacterial small subunit ribosomal RNA", at positions 1 to 418 of the family's 1533-position model. The record is from RNAcentral.